UACGUAGGUGGCAAGCGUUAUCCGGAUUUAUUGGGCGUAAAGCGCGCGCAGGCGGUUUCUUAAGUCUGAUGUGAAAGCCCACGGCUUAACCGUGGAGGGUCAUUGGAAACUGGGAAACUUGAGUGCAGAAGAGGAGAGUGGAAUUCCAUGUGUAGCGGUGAAAUGCGUAGAGAUAUGGAGGAACACCAGUGGCGAAGGCGACUCUCUGGUCUGCAACUGACGCUGAGGCGCGAAAGCGUGGGGAGCGAAC
This 250-nucleotide ribosomal RNA is filed under the name uncultured bacterium. RNAcentral's name for it is "partial 16S ribosomal RNA". It matches the Rfam family "Bacterial small subunit ribosomal RNA", at positions 524 to 773 of the family's 1533-position model. The record is from RNAcentral.